AUCUCGCUGGUGUAGUGGUAGAAGCACGCGUCCCCGGUAUGGAUAAAACGCAGGUGUUCGAUUCCCGCUCGAGGCC
Molecule: non-coding RNA, 76 nt
Organism: Parelaphostrongylus tenuis
Lineage: Eukaryota; Metazoa; Nematoda; Chromadorea; Rhabditida; Metastrongylidae
Source: the annotation of a GenBank genome assembly